UUCCCAUGCCGAACACAGAAGUUAAGCUCCUUAGCGCCGAUGGUAGUCGGACUUACGUUCCGCAAGAGUAGGACGUUGCCAGGC
This 84-nucleotide ribosomal RNA is filed under the name Staphylococcus saprophyticus. The record is from RNAcentral. Lineage: Bacteria; Bacillati; Bacillota; Bacilli; Caryophanales; Staphylococcaceae.